AACAUUUGAGUGAGUGGCGGACGGGUGAGUAACACGUGGGUAACCUGCCCUAAAGUGGGGGAUAACAUUUGGAAACAGAUGCUAAUACCGCAUAAAACCUAACACCGCAUGGUGUAGGGUUGAAAGAUGGUUUCGGCUAUCACUUUAGGAUGGACCCGCGGUGCAUUAGUUAGUUGGUGAGGUAAAGGCUCACCAAGACCGUGAUGCAUAGCCGACCUGAGAGGGUAAUCGGCCACACUGGGACUGAGACACGGCCCAGACUCCUACGGGAGGCAGCAGUAGGGAAUCUUCCACAAUGGACGAAAGUCUGAUGGAGCAACGCCGCGUGAGUGAAGAAGGUUUUCGGAUCGUAAAACUCUGUUGUUGGAGAAGAAUGUAUCUGAUAGUAACUGAUCAGGUAGUGACGGUAUCCAACCAGAAAGCCACGGCUAACUACGUGCCAGCAGCCGCGGUAAUACGUAGGUGGCAAGCGUUGUCCGGAUUUAUUGGGCGUAAAGCGAGCGCAGGCGGUUUCUUAAGUCUGAUGUGAAAGCCUUCGGCUCAACCGAAGAAGUGCAUCGGAAACUGGGAAACUUGAGUGCAGAAGAGGACAGUGGAACUCCAUGUGUAGCGGUGAAAUGCGUAGAUAUAUGGAAGAACACCAGUGGCGAAGGCGGCUGUCUGGUCUGUAACUGACGCUGAGGCUCGAAAGCAUGGGUAGCAAACAGGAUUAGAUACCCUGGUAGUCCAUGCCGUAAACGAUGAGUGCUAGGUGUUGGAGGGUUUCCGCCCUUCAGUGCCGCAGCUAACGCAUUAAGCACUCCGCCUGGGGAGUACGACCGCAAGGUUGAAACUCAAAGGAAUUGACGGGGGCCCGCACAAGCGGUGGAGCAUGUGGUUUAAUUCGAAGCAACGCGAAGAACCUUACCAGGUCUUGACAUCCUUUGACCACUCUAGAGAUAGAGCUUUCCCUUCGGGGACAAAGUGACAGGUGGUGCAUGGUUGUCGUCAGCUCGUGUCGUGAGAUGUUGGGUUAAGUCCCGCAACGAGCGCAACCCUUAUUACUAGUUGCCAGCAUUUAGUUGGGCACUCUAGUGAGACUGCCGGUGACAAACCGGAGGAAGGUGGGGACGACGUCAAAUCAUCAUGCCCCUUAUGACCUGGGCUACACACGUGCUACAAUGGAUGGUACAACGAGUUGCGAGACCGCGAGGUUUAGCGAAGGUGGGGACGACGUCAAAUCAUCAUGCCCCUUAUGACCUGGGCUACACACGUGCUACAAUGGAUGGUACAACGAGUUGCGAGACCGCGAGGUUUAGCUAAUCUCUUAAAACCAUUCUCAGUUCGGAUUGUAGGCUGCAACUCGCCUACAUGAAGCCGGAAUCGCUAGUAAUCGCGGAUCAGCAUGCCGCGGUGAAUACCGUUCCCGGGCCUUGUACACACCGCCCGUCACACCAUGAGAGUUUGUAACACCCAAAGCCGGUUGAGGUAACCCUUCGGGGAGCCAGCC
Molecule: ribosomal RNA, 1489 nt
Filed under: Latilactobacillus sakei
Lineage: Bacteria; Bacillati; Bacillota; Bacilli; Lactobacillales; Lactobacillaceae
Description: bacterial SSU rRNA
Rfam family: Bacterial small subunit ribosomal RNA
Source: RNAcentral